GGAUGGGUGGCCGAGAGGUUUAAGGCAGCGGUUUACUAAACCGCCGUUCUGUAAAAAGAACCGUGGGUUCGAAUCCCACCCCAUCCG
RNAcentral lists this transfer RNA (87 nucleotides) under Parcubacteria bacterium RAAC4_OD1_1. It matches the Rfam family "tRNA". Rfam says of the family: Transfer RNA (tRNA) molecules are approximately 80 nucleotides in length. Their secondary structure includes four short double-helical elements and three loops (D, anti-codon, and T loops). Further hydrogen bonds mediate the characteristic L-shaped molecular structure. tRNAs have two regions of fundamental functional importance: the anti-codon, which is responsible for specific mRNA codon recognition, and the 3' end, to which the tRNAs corresponding amino acid is attached (by aminoacyl-tRNA synthetases). tRNAs cope with the degeneracy of the genetic code in two manners: having more than one tRNA (with a specific anti-codon) for a particular amino acid; and 'wobble' base-pairing, i.e. permitting non-standard base-pairing at the 3rd anti-codon position. Lineage: Bacteria; Candidatus Parcubacteria. The record is from Rfam by way of RNAcentral.